RNAcentral lists this ribosomal RNA (253 nucleotides) under uncultured bacterium. RNAcentral describes it as "partial 16S ribosomal RNA". It matches the Rfam family "Bacterial small subunit ribosomal RNA", at positions 524 to 776 of the family's 1533-position model. The record is from RNAcentral.
UACGUAGGGUGCAAGCGUUGUCCGGAAUUAUUGGGCGUAAAGAGCUCGUAGGCGGCUCGUCACGUCGGCUGUGAAAACCCGGGGCUCAACCCCGGGCCUGCAGUCGAUACGGGCGAGCUAGAGUUCGGCAGGGGAGACUGGAAUUCCUGGUGUAGCAGUGAAAUGCGCAGAUAUCAGGAGGAACACCGGUGGCGAAGGCGGGUCUCUGGGCCGAUACUGACGCUGAGGAGCGAAAGCGUGGGGAGCGAACAGG